AGAAGCUCCACAGAGACUGCUGAGGACACGCGCUGCAUAAAGCAGCUUUUGACUACUCCAUGACUCAGAGGAAAACCCAGGACACUCGUUAUAAAAUGUGGGGCCAGAAACUCCUCCACCAUCCAAAAUAAGCCUCUGUCUCGUUCAGCCUGCUGGCUGAAAGGACAAGUAUCCAGCUGCUUGCACUAAGAUCACAGGAAAAUAUCUGAGGAGAUGAGAUCUGGUUGAUUUUCCUCCAGACUUCAGCAAGGUGAGUGAGACACCUGAUCUAGGCCCUCACUGUUAUUUCUCU
Molecule: long non-coding RNA, 292 nt
Filed under: Anas platyrhynchos platyrhynchos (common mallard)
Lineage: Eukaryota; Metazoa; Chordata; Aves; Anseriformes; Anatidae
Description: lncRNA (ENSAPLG00000019064.1)
Source: RNAcentral